CCGUUGUUUGUCUUUGGUCCUGCCAGGAUUCCGGAGGCUAAUCGUAAUCUAAAUCCUGAUAAAUACACGCGAAGCUUUGGGAUAUUGUGAAUUUUCGUUCUGUGUCAUUUUAUUUCUUUUAAAGUUGUUAUCUCUUUUUAGAAUAUGGUGGAUGUAUAUGAGGAUGCCCAGUUGGGGUUUGAGUCUGAUGGAGAGGAAUUAUCAGAUGGUGAGGUUUGCGGAAGCCUGGAUUGAAUAUUCCUCAGUGCGAACCAAAGAAGGCAAUGAACAAUGUGGAGGGUCUGAAGAAAUGCAUUUCUGAAUUUAACAAGACUCUACCAUGGGUUGAAAGGCUGGACCAAUUGCCCAGCUGUUGACAUUGUUGCAAAAGCAGAGGGCAGACAGCAGCAUACAAAUGAAGUCAUCAAUGCUGAGGACGUCUAGUCCUAAUGCAAAGAAGAAAUACAAGGAUAAGAAGUUUGGCUUCGGGGGCAAAAAGAAGGACAACAAAUGGAACACAAAAGAGAGCUACAACGACGUGUCAGGGUUCAAGGCAAGAGUGGCACAUGGGAAAGACGGGAAAAAAUUUGGCAAAGGAAGAAAAUCAAACAAGCAUCCAGGGAAGGAGGCACGGAGGAAAAUGAAGGCAUACAAAUGAGCUGUAUCAUCCCAUCAACACCUUUCACUUAAAUGAUUGUGCCAUUUAAAAAUAAUUUUCUCUUUCCUGUUAUCUGGGUCUCUGCAAUGUUACGGAUCCAUGUUCUUUUUUUCCUUGACCAACACUAUUAAAGUUUGUCACCAUUAGAUGACAUCUCUAUGUGAAUCGUGGCACUGCAAUCAGAAAUAUGCCAUGAACAAUGACUAAAUAUUCUGCUUUGUAAUUAUAAUUAUUUUUUUUACUUGAAGAUACUUAAAAAUAUUGAUCAUAAAAAUUCUUAAAAUAAAGGGAUAGUUCACGUAAAAUGAAAAUGAUGUCAUUGUUGUAUGGAAUGUGUACGAUCUGGGACUAUUUGUACACUUUCCCUGUAUUUCUUGUUGCAAGCAAACCAUGCUGCACUGAAUAAACAAAUCAUAA
Xyrauchen texanus (razorback sucker) is the source of this 1054-nucleotide RNA transcript. It is a transcript of the gene named probable rRNA-processing protein EBP2, with no coding region annotated. Lineage: Eukaryota; Metazoa; Chordata; Actinopteri; Cypriniformes; Catostomidae. The record is from RefSeq and is a predicted model, not a curated record. The transcript has 5 exons.